AACGCACAUUGCGCCCUUUGGUAUUCCGAAGGGCAUGCCUGUUCGAGCGUCAUUAUCAACCCUCAAGCCUGGCUUGUCAUUGAACCUCUGGUCGUUAAAAGACGGGUUCGAAAGAUAAUGACGGUGUCGCGAUCGACCCUAGAUGCAACGAGCUUCACAGCACGCAUGUUAGUGGCCGGCCGGCCCUGGUCUUAACCUUCUUUCAAUGGUUGACCUCGGAUCAGGUAGGAAUACCCGCUGAACUUAA
RNAcentral lists this unclassified non-coding RNA (247 nucleotides) under uncultured Eurotiomycetes. RNAcentral describes it as "sequence contains ITS2". The stretch from base 1 to 52 matches the Rfam family "5.8S ribosomal RNA", at positions 103 to 154 of the family's 154-position model. Lineage: Eukaryota; Fungi; Ascomycota; Eurotiomycetes. The record is from RNAcentral.